RNAcentral lists this ribosomal RNA (569 nucleotides) under uncultured bacterium. RNAcentral describes it as "bacterial SSU rRNA". It matches the Rfam family "Bacterial small subunit ribosomal RNA", at positions 243 to 803 of the family's 1533-position model. The record is from RNAcentral.
AGCUAGUUGGUGGGGUAAAGGCCUACCAAGGCUACGAUGGUUAGCUGGUCUGAGAGGAUGAUCAGCCACACUGGAAUUGAGACACGGUCCAGACUCCUACGGGAGGCAGCAGUGGGGAAUUUUGCGCAAUGGGGGAAACCCUGACGCAGCAACGCCGCGUGAGUGAUGAAGGCCUUCGGGUCGUAAAGCUCUGUCAGUGGGAAAGAAGUGUGGGAGGGCCAAUACCCCUUUCACUUGACGGUACCCACAAAGGAAGCACCGGCUAACUCCGUGCCAGCAGCCGCGGUAAUACGGAGGGUGCGAGCGUUGUUCGGAAUUAUUGGGCGUAAAGCGCGUGUAGGCGGCUCCUUAAGUCUGAUGUGAAAGCCCCGGGCUCAACCUGGGAAGUGCAUUGGAAACUGGGGAACUUGAAUACGGGAGAGGGUAGUGGAAUUCCUGGUGUAGGAGUGAAAUCCGUAGAUAUCAGGAGGAACACCGGUGGCGAAGGCGGCUACCUGGACCGAUAUUGACGCUGAGACGCGAAAGCGUGGGGAGCAAACAGGAUUAGAUACCCUGGUAGUCCACGCCGU